Molecule: ribosomal RNA, 464 nt
Filed under: uncultured archaeon
Lineage: Archaea
Description: bacterial SSU rRNA
Rfam family: Archaeal small subunit ribosomal RNA
Source: RNAcentral
AGGGAGCUUUUCUCGGCUGUAAAUAGGCAGGGGAAUAAGGGGAGGGCAAGUCUGGUGUCAGCCGCCGCGGUAAUACCAGCUCCUCGAGUGGUCGGGACGAUUAUUGGGCCUAAAGCACCCGUAGCCGGUUCCGUAAGUCCUCUGUUAAAUCCAGUCGCUCAACGGCUGGCCUGCAGAGGAUACUGCGGGACUAGGAGGCGGGAGAGGCGGACGGUACUCCGCGUGUAGGGGUAAAAUCCUUUGAUCCGCGGAAGACCACCAGUGGCGAAGGCGGUCCGCCAGAACACGUUCGACAGUGAGGGAUGAAAGCUGGGGGAGCAAACCGGAUUAGAUACCCGGGUAGUCCCAGCUGUAAACGAUGCAGACUCGGUGAAGCGUUGGUUUAUGGCCAAUGCUGUGCCGCAGGGAAGCCGUUAAGUCUGCCGCCUGGGAAGUACGGUCGCAAGAUUGAAACUUAAAGGAAU